Molecule: ribosomal RNA, 252 nt
Filed under: uncultured bacterium
Lineage: Bacteria
Description: partial 16S ribosomal RNA
Rfam family: Bacterial small subunit ribosomal RNA
Source: RNAcentral
GACAGAGGGUGCAAACGUUGUUCGGAAUUACUGGCGUAAAGCGCGUGUAGGCUGUUCGGAAAGUCGGAUGUGAAAGCCCUUGGCUCAACUGAGGAAGUGCACCCGAAACUGAGUAGCUGGAGUACGAAAGAGGGUCGCGGAAUUCCCGGUGUAGAGGUGAAAUGCGCAGAUAUCAGGAGGAACACCGAUGGCGAAGGCAGGUCUCUGGGCCACUACUGACGCUGAGAAGCGAAAGCGUGGGGAGCGAACAGG